RNAcentral lists this ribosomal RNA (227 nucleotides) under uncultured bacterium. RNAcentral describes it as "partial 16S ribosomal RNA". It matches the Rfam family "Bacterial small subunit ribosomal RNA", at positions 118 to 347 of the family's 1533-position model. The record is from RNAcentral.
UGAGCAAUCUGCCCUUCUCUUCGGAAUAAGCGUUGGAAACGACGUCUAAUGCCGAAUACGACCUCCUUUCGCAUGAUCGGAGGUGGAAAGCUCCGGCGGAGAAGGAUGAGCUCGCGGCCUAUCAGCUAGUUGGUGAGGUAACGGCUCACCAAGGCGACGACGGGUANCUGGUCUGAGAGGAUGGCCAGCCACAUUGGGACUGAGACACGGCCCAGACUNUACGGGAG